CGUGAUUGCUAUGGUAGCGGGCGACAGUAUUUUUUUGACAGUAAUUUUUUUCCCUCUGGGUCUGACAGUAUAUCUAUGUAACGAUGGCCUAUGGGAGUUUAGCAUUGUGAAUAAAAUUCAGACUCCCUUCGCUAAGAUUCCAAGCAGCGAGUUGCCAGCACGUAUUAGGAAAGGUUUACGUCUAGAAAUGCCGGACAUAUGUGACGACAGUGGUAUGACGUCAUGGCGAGAUGCUGGUCGUACCAAGCUGUCAGACGCCCGCGAUUUGAGGAAAUCCGCGUAGAGAUGGACAACGUCUUCCGCACCACGACACGGCUAAAAUAACACUUAAAUUGCGUUAAAGAUAGAUUGUAGCUGACGAUAGCAUCUUUCCCUUGACGACAUUUUAAGCAAAAUAUGUUUUACAUUUUAAUACUUGCAGCCUAUGACCUAGUUUUCUUCAUGACAUUUGAGGCAUAUUCAUAAUUAACUUGAUAAUGGAUAGAAUUACAUUACAAUUUUCUUAAAAAUAAAUGAAGCUUGUAGAUUGUAAAAUUGCUUUUUGCAGAUUAUACAUGGCGAUAUAA
Long non-coding RNA from Dreissena polymorpha, 566 nucleotides. RefSeq lists it as uncharacterized. The transcript has 3 exons. NCBI's taxonomy places the organism in Eukaryota, Metazoa, Mollusca, Bivalvia, Myida, Dreissenidae. The record is from RefSeq and is a predicted model, not a curated record.